UAACAACACGAGGAAUAGCAGUGCAAGCAGCAUGAUGAAUGUAAAUGAGAAAUUCAAAGGAAUUACGCAAACUGACCACAGUCGACCCAAUCCACCUUAAGGCGAUACCAUGUUAUAAUCCCGCCUGGGCAGACGAGACGAAACGGGUCGGGUCGGGUUGGUCAACGGACAAAAAGCUGAGAGAAAGCCACCUGGCAGUAAAUUUCCGUGCUCAGCUAGAACAACAAUGGCUGAAGCCUCUUCCAACAAUGGCGGAACCGAUCAGGUGCAAUCCCAUUCUGCUCUCAAUACUCCAGUUCAAGUGUUCACUGGUUGUUUAUUUACUUCUUUUUUGAAAAAUAAUAAUUUAAUUGUUACUUUUGGUUGUCAGAUUUUGGUGGAGACAUCAUCAAAUGUUAGAACGUUCAUAUUAAAGCUCAAUGCACUUUCUUAUGAAAUGGUAUUCCAAAUAUGAUGUCACUAUUAUUUUGUUGGCCUACUUUUAUUUUCUUUGUACUGUUUCCUUUACCGUACUGUCCUCAAAUAUAUUAUAUCGUCUAUAGUUUGUGUUUCAUUGAAAACUUUAUUUGUUGAUUAUUAUCCAUAUAAUUUAUUAAGCCCGACCUUAACUAGUUUGUGAUUGAAGUGUUAGUUGUAGUCGUAGUAGUAGUAGUUGUAGUAAUAGUAAUUGUUGUUGUUGUUGUCGUCUUUUAAUUGAAGUCUGACUUACUUGAUUUUUUUUUAACAUGGGGACUUGAUUUCUAUGCUUACAUGAGUUUGUUUGGGGAUGAUGGUGCUUCCAAUGAAUGCUCAAAUUUUCUGGCUUCAGCUCAGACAUCCCAUAAAUGCAAGUUAAGCCUUAAGCAUUACUGGUCACCUUCCGCAC
This 865-nucleotide long non-coding RNA is filed under the name Nicotiana tabacum (common tobacco). RNAcentral's name for it is "long non-coding RNA (NTAB_LNC003617)". Lineage: Eukaryota; Viridiplantae; Streptophyta; Magnoliopsida; Solanales; Solanaceae. The record is from RNAcentral.